UACGUAGGGUGCAGGCGUUAAUCGGAAUUACUGGGCGUAAAGCGUGCGCAGGCGGCGCCUUAAGUCAGAUGUGAAAGCCCCGGGCUUAACCUGGGAACUGCGUUUGAAACUGGGGAGCUGGAGUGUAGAAGAGGGGGGUGGAAUUCCAGGUGUAGCAGUGAAAUGCGUAGAUAUCUGGAGGAACACCGAUGGCGAAGGCAGCCCCCUGGGCUAACACUGACGCUCAUGCACGAAAGCGUGGGGAGCAAACAGG
This 253-nucleotide ribosomal RNA is filed under the name uncultured bacterium. RNAcentral describes it as "partial 16S ribosomal RNA". It matches the Rfam family "Bacterial small subunit ribosomal RNA", at positions 524 to 776 of the family's 1533-position model. The record is from RNAcentral.